Lycium ferocissimum is the source of this 903-nucleotide long non-coding RNA. RefSeq lists it as uncharacterized. The transcript is spliced from 4 exons. The record is from RefSeq and is a predicted model, not a curated record. Lineage: Eukaryota; Viridiplantae; Streptophyta; Magnoliopsida; Solanales; Solanaceae.
AAUGCUCAAGUUUUUGUCUUUGUAACCUAUAUUUUUUGCAACUAGGUCAGGUGAUUGUUGCAAUAUUUGUGUUGAUCUUUUUCUGAACUAAAAUUUAUUAGUCUGGGCAGUUGUAUCAGUUUGACAUACCACUGUUAAUAGGUCACUAGCUUCCUCUGAAAUUCUUUGUGCAGAUAAUUGUUCAUGAAAAGUGGACAUACAUGAAUAUGCUUACAUUGAUUAUUCGUCAUUCUUUUUACGUACUUAUGUUCGAUGUCUCAUUGUAGGUUACUACAUUUGCUUGCAAUUUGGCAAAACAUCGGAAAUCUUCAACUUUGGAGUCCAAGGAUGUACUGUUACAUCUAGAGAAAAACUGGCAUUUGACUAUUCCAGGCUUUUCAAGCGAGGAGAGGAAACACUAUCCAGAAAAUUCACCAAGUGAUCUCCAUAAAAAGCGUUUGGAUGUGAUACGUACCUUGAUGGAGGCCUCACAAACAGAAACAAGUACAGAUAGUAGUGCUAAGGAGACAGUCAGACCAGCAGUGGGUGACUCAAAUCACAUGAUCAGACCUCCAAGUUCAGACAAAUUGGUUUCACAGUCUAAUGCUUCUCAAAUGCUGCAUGAGAUGACAAGGUUUUGAUGUCCCUGGAGUUCUUGGUGUAUCUCCCGUGUUAACUGUACAGAUCUUGAUGGUAAGUAUCACUUCUUUUAAGAUGAAUUCUACUGUGAUUUACUUGUUUACUGAAGAACCCAGCCUUUAGUGGCUCUGAGUUUUCAUGCCCGAACAUUAUGUUUUUGUUUAAGCGAUCCUUCUCUAGACCAAUAUCAGUUGCACAUUGGAUAAGUAUGCUGUAUGUAGUGUGGAGUUCUAAAUCAUGUCUUAGCUGCUGCAAAAUGAUAAUAAUGCUAUUACUUUUUGGGUU